This 1340-nucleotide long non-coding RNA is filed under the name Gallus gallus (chicken). RNAcentral describes it as "lncRNA (ENSGALG00010003082.1)". The record is from RNAcentral. Lineage: Eukaryota; Metazoa; Chordata; Aves; Galliformes; Phasianidae.
UUUCUGGUUGGAGAUCUCUUUUUUGUGGAGUUUCCCUGUGAGUGUAGAUCUUCAGAGACAGAGUCCCCUCAAGAGAAAAAAAAGGCAUAUAAAAAGGAAGCUGAAAUUCCUCAAGGAUAACGUUCUACAUGCUAGCAGGGAGGCAUCCCUACCAUGAGAAUAUUACAAAAAUAAAUCACAGGAAUGCUUUUCUACCAGGGUUCAGGAGUCCAAAAGGAAGAAAAAUCACUUAGAUUAGUUUGAAGCCCUUUGGAAAUGCAGUCGUCACUCAGCCUAGCACGUGAUAAAGGAAUGCCCGGGAAUUAUUUUUGGCCAUUGAAAUGUGUACGUAGCUGGCACCUUGAACAUGAAGAUAUAUUGAAAACUAAUGUGUCCAAUGCAUCCUCUCUGGAAAGCUUGCUUGGUCUAAAUAUCGAUUGGUUUUACUACCAGCCAAGGUCAGAAACUGAAGAGGUUCUUGCUGCAGCUGCAGGAAGCUGUAUAUUAAUCUCAAUAUCAACUAAAGUACCUAAACUGUUAUUGGAAUUUGUUGAUCAAUGACAGCUUUGAAAAGUACUUAGUAUGACAUUUGUUGAGCUUCCAUAUUUUGUGUUAUACCGUCACACCUGAUUGUUCAAUAACUCGGAAAACACCAACAAAGGACCUCUUCAGCUCUUUGUGCAGACAAUAUCUGUUUUAUAAUUCCCGUCUCUUGCUAUAAUCUGCAUUAAUGGGCAUUCCACACCAUUAAAAGGUUUUCUUGCUGCCUUGCUUACAUUAAUCCAUUAGAGAAUGUUCCUCUGUUGCUCAUGGUAAUGUGCCUUGUGUCUGCCUAAACUUCUUCCAGAAGAAUAUUUCUUAAUUCCUGACCCUGCAACCUUUAUGUUUGGAAAUGCCAUCAUUAAAUUCAAACACACCUCCUGUCUCUGUUCUCUUGAAAUAAAUGCUUGUGCAGGGUCUCUAGCCACAUGGAUCCACACCACAUUGCAUAGGAACACAGCUGCACAACUGGGCUGAGUAAGGGACUGUUUCCCCCAGUGCCUGCUCUCCUUAUGUGGGGAGAGUUCACUUUUUAUAUAUUCACAGAUUUUUUUUUUGCUCUUCUGCAUUAAACUGGUGUUGUAGAAGUAAAAUCAUCAAAGGCUAUAAAUAUGACACGAUCCUCUUAAAACUUUUAAAUAUUUACAAGUCCAUUUCCUUCCUCGCUUGCUUCCCAAGAUAGAUUCUCAUUAAAUUAAACCAACUUGCAGAAAAACUUUCCAGUAAUCACACCAGCAUAUAAUAUCUAAAAGUCUUCAGAGGGCAAGGCCCAGGCCAUUGCAAGGAUUUAUGCAUGUUUAGGGUCACAGUUCACAUCAAAU